Carya illinoinensis is the source of this 89-nucleotide small nucleolar RNA. RefSeq annotates it as small nucleolar RNA snoR31. The record is from RefSeq and is a predicted model, not a curated record. Lineage: Eukaryota; Viridiplantae; Streptophyta; Magnoliopsida; Fagales; Juglandaceae. The transcript has a single exon.
AAGAUUGGGAUGAAGCAAAAUAACAUAAUCCAACACUUGAUCUGAGAUAUUCAUUUUCGAGUGAUUAUAAAUAUGGCUUCUGAAUCUCU